AUGGAGAAGGAAGGGGGAGGGAAGGAGCAGGGGCACAGGGGAGGUUCGAGCGGCACUUCUUCUGGUGCUGCUCGCCGGCUCCGGCGAGGCUCGCCGGAGCAGCCGAGGGUGGUGCAUGUUGGCGCCGUCGCCGUCCAUGGUGCCGUCGGUGCCUUCAUCGUCAGAGACAGGUGCAGCGAGCAGCGGCACCGCGGGGCCGUCCUAUGGCACUGCACACGGGGCAGCGAUGACCGCGGUGGCGCACACAGCACGGCGGGAGAUGGGGCGCACAGCGAGCAGGAGGAUGACGACGACGACAUGGAGCGGUUGCGGCACAGGCGGGGAGGCCAGCGAAACGUUAUCUUUGACUAG
RNAcentral lists this ribosomal RNA (351 nucleotides) under Triticum aestivum (bread wheat). Its description in RNAcentral is "partial small subunit ribosomal RNA". The record is from RNAcentral. Lineage: Eukaryota; Viridiplantae; Streptophyta; Magnoliopsida; Poales; Poaceae.